Molecule: ribosomal RNA, 1343 nt
Filed under: uncultured bacterium
Lineage: Bacteria
Description: 16S ribosomal RNA
Rfam family: Bacterial small subunit ribosomal RNA
Source: RNAcentral
GACGAACGCUGGCGGCGUGCUUAACACAUGCAAGUCGAACGGAAAGGCCCUGCUUUUGUGGGGUGCUCGAGUGGCGAACGGGUGAGUAACACGUGAGUAACCUGCCCUUGACUUUGGGAUAACUUCAGGAAACUGGGGCUAAUACCGGAUAGGAGCUCCUGCUGCAUGGUGGGGGUUGGAAAGUUUCGGCGGUUGGGGAUGGACUCGCGGCUUAUCAGCUUGUUGGUGGGGUAGUGGCUUACCAAGGCUUUGACGGGUAGCCGGCCUGAGAGGGUGACCGGCCACAUUGGGACUGAGAUACGGCCCAGACUCCUACGGGAGGCAGCAGUGGGGAAUAUUGCACAAUGGGCGGAAGCCUGAUGCAGCAACGCCGCGUGCGGGAUGACGGCCUUCGGGUUGUAAACCGCUUUCGCCUGUGACGAAGCGUGAGUGACGGUAAUGGGUAAAGAAGCACCGGCUAACUACGUGCCAGCAGCCGCGGUGAUACGUAGGGUGCGAGCGUUGUCCGGAUUUAUUGGGCGUAAAGGGCUCGUAGGUGGUUGAUCGCGUCGGAAGUGUAAUCUUGGGGCUUAACCCUGAGCGUGCUUUCGAUACGGGUUGACUUGAGGAAGGUAGGGGAGAAUGGAAUUCCUGGUGGAGCGGUGGAAUGCGCAGAUAUCAGGAGGAACACCAGUGGCGAAGGCGGUUCUCUGGGCCUUUCCUGACGCUGAGGAGUGAAAGCGUGGGGAGCGAACAGGCUUAGAUACCCUGGUAGUCCACGCUGUAAACGGUGGGUACUAGGUGUGGGGUCCAUUCCACGGGUUCCGUGCCGUAGCUAACGCUUUAAGUACCCCGCCUGGGGAGUACGGCCGCAAGGCUAAAACUCAAAGGAAUUGACGGGGCCCCGCACAAGCGGCGGAGCAUGCGGAUUAAUUCGAUGCAACGCGUAGAACCUUACCUGGGUUUGACAUGGAUCGGGAGUGCUCAGAGAUGGGUGUGCCUCUUUUGGGGUCGGUUCACAGGUGGUGCAUGGCUGUCGUCAGCUCGUGUCGUGAGAUGUUGGGUUAAGUCCCGCAACGAGCGCAACCCUUGUUCACUGUUGCCAGCACGUUAUGGUGGGGACUCAGUGGAGACCGCCGGGGUCAACUCGGAGGAAGGUGGGGAUGACGUCAAGUCAUCAUGCCCCUUAUGUCCAGGGCUUCACGCAUGCUACAAUGGCUGGUACAGAGAGUGGCGAGCCUGUGAGGGUGAGCGAAUCUCGGAAAGCCGGUCUCAGUUCGGAUUGGGGUCUGCAACUCGACCUCAUGAAGUCGGAGUCGCUAGUAAUCGCAGAUCAGCAACGCUGCGGUGAAUACGCUCCCGGG